AUACAGCUGACGAGUUCCAAACAGAACGGGACGCGCAUCCUGGAU
Schistosoma rodhaini is the source of this 45-nucleotide non-coding RNA. NCBI's taxonomy places the organism in Eukaryota, Metazoa, Platyhelminthes, Trematoda, Strigeidida, Schistosomatidae. The record is from Rfam.